AUUGACGGUAUUUAACCAGAAAGCCACGGCUAACUACGUGCCAGCAGCCGCGGUAAUACGUAGGUGGCAAGCGUUGUCCGGAUUUAUUGGGCGUAAAGCGAGCGCAGGCGGUUUUUUAAGUCUGAUGUGAAAGCCUUCGGCUCAACCGAAGAAGUGCAUCGGAAACUGGGAAACUUGAGUGCAGAAGAGGACAGUGGAACUCCAUGUGUAGCGGUGAAAUGCGUAGAUAUAUGGAAGAACACCAGUGGCGAAGGCGGCUGUCUGGUCUGUAACUGACGCUGAGGCUCGAAAGUAUGGGUAGCAAACAGGAUUAGAUACCCUGGUAGUCCAUACCGUAAACGAUGAAUGCUAAGUGUUGGAGGGUUUCCGCCCUUCAGUGCUGCAGCUAACGCAUUAAGCAUUCCGCCUGGGGAGUACGGCCGCAAGGCUGAAACUCAAAGGAAUUGACGGGGGCCCGCACAAGCGGUGGAGCAUGUGGUUUAAUUCGAAGCUACGCGAAGAACCUUACCAGGUCUUGACAUACUAUGCAAAUCUAAGAGAUUAGACGUUCCCUUCGGGGACAUGGAUACAGGUGGUGCAUGGUUGUCGUCAGCUCGUGUCGUGAGAUGUUGGGUUAAGUCCCGCAACGAGCGCAACCCUUAUUAUCAGUUGCCAGCAUUAAGUUGGGCACUCUGGUGAGACUGCCGGUGACAAACCGGAGGAAGGUGGGGAUGACGUCAAAUCAUCAUGCCCCUUAUGACCUGGGCUACACACGUGCUACAAUGGAUGGUACAACGAGUUGCGAACUCGCGAGAGUAAGCUAAUCUCUUAAAGCCAUUCUCAGUUCGGAUUGUAGGCUGCAACUCGCCUACAUGAAGUCGGAAUCGCUAGUAAUCGCGGAUCAGCAUGCCGCGGUGAAUACGUUCCCGGGCCUUGUACACACCGCCCGUCACACCAUGAGAGUUUGUAACACCCAAAGUCGGUGGGGUAACCUUUUAGGAACCAGCCGCCUAAGGUGGGACAGAUGAUUAGGGUGAAGUCGUAACAAGGUAGCCGUAGGAGAACCUGCGGCUGGAUCACCUCCUUUCUAAGGAA
Molecule: ribosomal RNA, 1074 nt
Filed under: Lactiplantibacillus plantarum
Lineage: Bacteria; Bacillati; Bacillota; Bacilli; Lactobacillales; Lactobacillaceae
Description: bacterial SSU rRNA
Rfam family: Bacterial small subunit ribosomal RNA
Source: RNAcentral